This 476-nucleotide ribosomal RNA is filed under the name uncultured bacterium. Its description in RNAcentral is "bacterial SSU rRNA". It matches the Rfam family "Bacterial small subunit ribosomal RNA", at positions 26 to 507 of the family's 1533-position model. The record is from RNAcentral.
GAUCAGUGGCUCGAGGACGAACGCUGGCGGCGUGCCUAACACAUGCAAGUCGAACGAGGUCCAUCCUUCGGGAGAAGACCUAGUGGCGAACGGGUGAGUAACACGUGAAGAACCUGCCCCGAAGACCGGGAUAACCCUCCGAAAGGAGAGCUAAUACCGGAUACCCCCACCGAACCGCAUGGUUUGGUGAGGAAAUGGAUUCCGCUUCGGGAGGGCUUCGCGGCCUAUCAGCUAGUUGGUGGGGUAACGGCCCACCAAGGCAUCGACGGGUAGCUGGUCUGAGAGGACGAUCAGCCACACUGGGACUGAGACACGGCCCAGACUCCUACGGGAGGCAGCAGUGGGGAAUCUUGCGCAAUGGGCGAAAGCCUGACGCAGCAACGCCGCGUGGGGAUGAAGGCUCUCGGGUUGUAAACCCCUUUCAGCAGGGACGAAUCAAGACGGUACCUGCAGAAGAAGCCCCGGCUAACUACGUG